This 75-nucleotide transfer RNA is filed under the name Actinoallomurus iriomotensis. RNAcentral's name for it is "tRNA-Pro". It matches the Rfam family "tRNA". Rfam says of the family: Transfer RNA (tRNA) molecules are approximately 80 nucleotides in length. Their secondary structure includes four short double-helical elements and three loops (D, anti-codon, and T loops). Lineage: Bacteria; Bacillati; Actinomycetota; Actinomycetes; Streptosporangiales; Thermomonosporaceae. The record is from RNAcentral.
CGGGACGUGGCCCAGCUUGGCAGGGCGCCGCUUUCGGGUAGCGGAGAUCGCAGGUUCGAAUCCUGCCGUUCCGAC